RNAcentral lists this ribosomal RNA (492 nucleotides) under uncultured bacterium. Its description in RNAcentral is "partial 16S ribosomal RNA". It matches the Rfam family "Bacterial small subunit ribosomal RNA", at positions 29 to 507 of the family's 1533-position model. The record is from RNAcentral.
AGUGAACGCUGGCGGUAGGCCUAACACAUGCAAGUCGAACGGCAGCACAGUAAGAGCUUGCUCUUACGGGUGGCGAGUGGCGGACGGGUGAGGAAUACAUCGGAAUCUACUUUUUCGUGGGGGAUAACGUAGGGAAACUUACGAUAAUACCGCAUACGACCUACGGGUGAAAGCAGGGGAUCUUCGGACCUUGCGCGAUUGAAUGAGACGAUGUCGGAUUAGCUAGUUGGCGGGGUAAAGGCCCACCAAGGCGACGAUCCGUAGCUGGUCUGAGAGGAUGAUCAGCCACACUGGAACUGAGACACGGUCCAGACUCCUACGGGAGGCAGCAGUGGGGAAUAUUGGACAAUGGGCGCAAGCCUGAUCCAGCCAUACCGCGUGGGUGAAGAAGGCCUUCGGGUUGUAAAGCCCUUUUGUUGGGAAAGAAAAGCAGCAGGUUAAUACCCCGCUGUUCUGACGGUACCCAAAGAAUAAGCACCGGCUAACUUCGUG